CGGACCACUCCUGGCUGAGGGUCGU
RNAcentral lists this ribosomal RNA (25 nucleotides) under Tetropium velutinum. RNAcentral's name for it is "partial 5.8S ribosomal RNA". The record is from RNAcentral. Lineage: Eukaryota; Metazoa; Arthropoda; Insecta; Coleoptera; Cerambycidae.